Long non-coding RNA from Eucalyptus grandis, 321 nucleotides. RefSeq lists it as uncharacterized. Lineage: Eukaryota; Viridiplantae; Streptophyta; Magnoliopsida; Myrtales; Myrtaceae. The transcript has 3 exons. The record is from RefSeq and is a predicted model, not a curated record.
UGCACAAAAACGGACAAGAAAUACCGGGAAGCGGUACUUUUAAGCCUUGAUCAGAUUAUAAAAGCAUUUGGCAAUCAUGAGUUCUUCAACAUGGUUUUUCCAAAAUUGUUUGACAUGUGCAGUUUAGGCACUUCUGACAAAUCUGGACAAGCACAUUCAGCAAAUGAUUCUGCUUAAUCAGACUAUGAUGGAAAAGAAGAUUCUUCUGUUCCACUAGAAAAAGUACUGGACUGUAUCCCAUCAUGUAUCCAUGUGGCAUAUAUUGAUGAUAUUCUUGAAAAGAAAAAUAACUUGGAGCACCUCUGGAUUGCCUCUCUCUCA